This 497-nucleotide ribosomal RNA is filed under the name uncultured bacterium. Its description in RNAcentral is "partial 16S ribosomal RNA". It matches the Rfam family "Bacterial small subunit ribosomal RNA", at positions 28 to 507 of the family's 1533-position model. The record is from RNAcentral.
GAUGAACGCUGGCGGCGUGCCUAAUACAUGCAAGUCGAGCGAACAGACGAGGAGCUUGCUCCUCUGACGUUAGCGGCGGACGGGUGAGUAACACGUGGAUAACCUACCUAUAAGACUGGGAUAACUUCGGGAAACCGGAGCUAAUACCGGAUAAUAUAUUGAACCGCAUGGUUCAAUAGUGAAAGACGGUUUUGCUGUCACUUAUAGAUGGAUCCGCGCCGCAUUAGCUAGUUGGUAAGGUAACGGCUUACCAAGGCAACGAUGCGUAGCCGACCUGAGAGGGUGAUAGGCCACACUGGAACUGAGACACGGUCCAGACUCCUACGGGAGGCAGCAGUAGCGAAUCUUCCGCAGUGGGCGAAAGCCUGGCGGAGCAACGCCGCGUGAGUGAUGAAGGUCUUCGGAUCGUAAAACUCUGUUAUUAGGGAAGAACAAAUGUGUAAGUAACUAUGCACGUCUUGACGGUACCUGAUCAGAAAGCCACGGCUAACUACGUG